Molecule: ribosomal RNA, 262 nt
Filed under: uncultured bacterium
Lineage: Bacteria
Description: partial 16S ribosomal RNA
Rfam family: Bacterial small subunit ribosomal RNA
Source: RNAcentral
GAUGAACGCUAGCGGCAGGCUUAACACAUGCAAGUCGAGGGAUAUUGGUUUUCGGACCAAGAGACCGGCGCACGGGUGCGUAACGCGUAUGCAAUCUACCUUUUGCAGAGGGAUAGCCCCAGAGAAAUUUGGAUUAAUACCUCAUAGUAUAGUACUUUGGCAUCAAGGAACUAUUAAAGUCACAACGGCAAAAGAAUGAGCAUGCGUCCCAUUAGCUAGUUGGUAAGGUAACGGCUUACCAAGGCUACGAUGGGUAGGGGUC